GACGAACGCUGGCGGCGUGCUUAACACAUGCAAGUCGAACGGAAAGGCCCUGCUUGCAGGGUACUCGAGUGGCGAACGGGUGAGUAACUCGUGGGUGGUCUGCCCCGCAAUUUGGGAUAAGCCUGGGAAACUGGGUCUAAUACGGGAUAGGAGCCAGAAUCAGUGUGAUGGUUGGAUAGCUUUUUCGGUGUAGGAUGAUGUCGCGGCCUUUUAGCUAGUUGGUGGGGUAAGGGUGUACCAAGGCGGCGACGGGUAACCGGCCUGUGAGGGUGGACGGCCACAUUGGGACGGAGAGACGGCCCAGACACCUACGGAAGGCAGCAGGGGGGAGGAAAGCACAAGGGGCGCGAGCCAGAUGCAGCGACGCCGCGUGGGGGGUGACAGCCGGCGGGUGGUAAGCGCCUUGCGCUAGGGACAGAGCAUUUAGUGACGGUACCUGGAGAAGAAGCACCGGCUAACUAUGUG
RNAcentral lists this ribosomal RNA (465 nucleotides) under uncultured bacterium. RNAcentral's name for it is "partial 16S ribosomal RNA". It matches the Rfam family "Bacterial small subunit ribosomal RNA", at positions 28 to 507 of the family's 1533-position model. The record is from RNAcentral.